CAGCCGCCACGGUAAUACGAAGGGUGCAAGCGUUAAUCGGAAUUACUUGGCGUAAAGCGUGCGUAGGCGGCUUUGUAAGUUAGAGGUGAAAGCCCAGAGCUCAACUCUGGAAUUGCCUUUAAGACUGCAUCGCUUGAAUCCAGGAGAGGUGAGUGGAAUUCCGAGUGUAGAGGUGAAAUUCGUAGAUAUUCGGAAGAACACCAGUGGCGAAGGCGGCUCACUGGACUGGUAUUGACGCUGAGGUGCGAAAGCGUGGGGAGCAAACAGGAUUAGAUACCCCUGUAGUCCCUGUCUCUUAUAC
This 301-nucleotide ribosomal RNA is filed under the name uncultured bacterium. RNAcentral describes it as "partial 16S ribosomal RNA". It matches the Rfam family "Bacterial small subunit ribosomal RNA", at positions 509 to 807 of the family's 1533-position model. The record is from RNAcentral.